RNAcentral lists this long non-coding RNA (475 nucleotides) under Mytilus galloprovincialis (Mediterranean mussel). The record is from RNAcentral. Lineage: Eukaryota; Metazoa; Mollusca; Bivalvia; Mytilida; Mytilidae.
GAAAAAUAUUGAGGGAAAAAAAACUUGAGUGUAGGAAUACUCCUUCCUUUAACUAUUUACUCAAGAACAUAUACAGAAUAAACAGAUAUAUCAAAUAUAGAUAUAAUUAUAAUAAGAGGGAUUGGAGAACGAAAGACUUUUGAGCAUCUGUGCUACAUUACAUAAUAUGCCUAAUAAUAAAAGAAGACGCAUGAGAAACCAGGAUAAGAAUAGGAAAGUUUUGAAAAACAAACAAAGGAAAAACAAAAACAACAAACGUAGGAAAUCUUACAAAAGAAAACUGAAAGAAACUUCUAAAAGCAUAAAUAAUUUAAAGUAUAUUGAUAUGUAUACCAAGCAAAAACUAAACGAGAACGAAAUAUCAAUUCUUGCUAAAGGGUUAAAAUUCGUUCCUAGCCCAAACAUUAAAAAUGCCAAAGCUAAUCUUCUCAUUGAUUUUCAAGAACUAGCCCGAAAAAUGAGAUGCAAAUAUCAG